CAAUACACUUGUAAAGCGGCGAACGGGUGAGGAAUGCAUGGGUAACCUACCCUCGAGUGGGGAAUAACUAGCCGAAAGGUUAGCUAAUACCGCAUACGUUUCCGGGACCUCGGUUCCGGAAAGAAAGCAAUACCGUGGGUAUUGCGCUCAUGGAUGGGCUCAUGUCCUAUCAGCUUGUUGGUGAGGUAACGGCUCACCAAGGCUUCGACGGGUAGCUGGUCUGAGAGGACGAUCAGCCACACUGGCACUGCGACACGGGCCAGACUCCUACGGGAGGCAGCAAGUAAGGAAUAUUGCGCAAUGGACGAAAGUCUGACGCAGCGACGCCGCGUGGGGGAUGAAGGUCUUCGGAUUGUAAACCCCUUUCGGGAGGGAAGAGGAGUGGGUAACCACUGGCGGUCCUCCAAACAGCCACGGCU
This 419-nucleotide ribosomal RNA is filed under the name uncultured bacterium. Its description in RNAcentral is "bacterial SSU rRNA". It matches the Rfam family "Bacterial small subunit ribosomal RNA", at positions 80 to 498 of the family's 1533-position model. The record is from RNAcentral.